UACGUAGGGGGCAAGCGUUGUCCGGAUUUAUUGGGCGUAAAGAGCGUGUAGGCGGCCAAGCAGGUCAGCUGUGAAAACUCGAGGCUCAACCUCGAGACGUCGGUUGAAACCGCUUGGCUAGAGUCCGGAAGAGGAGAGUGGAAUUCCCGGUGUAGCGGUGAAAUGCGCAGAUAUCGGGAAGAACACCCGUGGCGAAGGCGGCUCUCUGGGACGGUACUGACGCUGAGACGCGAAAGCGAU
RNAcentral lists this ribosomal RNA (240 nucleotides) under uncultured bacterium. Its description in RNAcentral is "partial 16S ribosomal RNA". It matches the Rfam family "Bacterial small subunit ribosomal RNA", at positions 524 to 763 of the family's 1533-position model. The record is from RNAcentral.